AUGCAAUUAAAAUAAAUAUGUAUUCUAGUGUUUUGGGGUGGAGUUAAUCUAUAAAGAAUUGGAUCGGUUUGCUUAACAGUUUUGUUCAAAAGUUGUAUAUCCUUACUAAAUUUCUCAGUAAGUAAUUUUAAUCAAUUAUUAAGUGAGAAGUAUUAAAAUAUUCCAUUAUAAAUGAGAUUGUUCUGUUUAUUCUUUUAAUUUCCUCAUUAAUAAUUUUGAACUCAGUUAUUAGGUAUACACACAUUUAGUUUGGUUUUAGCCUCUUGAUAAAUUGAUCUCUUCAUCAUUAUGAGAAGUACUGCUAUAUCCCUGGAAUAUUCCUUGCUCUGACAUUUACAUUGCCUAAUAUUAAUAUGGAUACUCUAAUUUUUAUAUGUGUAUUCAAUGUUCUCAUAGUAUAACUUUUGCAUGCUUUUGCUUUUAUCAGAAAAGUAUCUUUAUAUGUAAAUAUGUUUCUUAAAGAUAGCACAUAAUUGAGUCUUUAAAAAAAAGUUAUAUGUCUAGGAACAAUGGUUCACGCCUGUAAUCCUAUCACUAGGAUUACAUUAGCUAGUGUAAUCUUAGCACUAGCUGGGGCAGGUGGAUCACUUGAGGUCAGGAGUUUGAAACCAGCCUGGCCAACAUGGAGAAACCCCGUCUCCACUAAAAACACAAAAAAAUAGCCAGGCAUGGUGGCACAUGCCUGUAAUCCCAGCUACUUGGGGGGCUAAGGUGGGAGAAUUACUUCAACCCGGGAGGCGGAGAUGGCAGUGAGAGGAGAUCGCAUCACUGCACUCCAGCCUGGGCGACAGAGCAAGACUCUGUCUUAAAAAAAAAAUACAAAAUAAAAAAAAAAUUAUGUUUGAGAUCUGAUAGUUUAAAAAUAUAUGGUAUAUAUGUGGAGAACACAUAUGUACUAUGUUCACCAAGAGGAGAUUUACUACAAAUAUAUUUUUUGUUUCUUGUUUCCUUCAAGCUCUGAGUGAGUUUGAAAGUGGAUCUUCUGGAGCCUUCCAACAGUCAUUUGAGGAAUCUGGAAGUGCAUUUUUGAUGCUUUCCCACAGCCACCUGAGUGAUCUGAGAUGAGGUCAUGCUAUGUUGUCUAGACAAGAUUGAUAAGGGGUCAACACCCAAAGUGUAUAAGAAACUCAACUCAUUAGUAAGAAUACAGAUAUACCUAUUAGAACAUUGGAAAAUGAUCUGAAAAGACACUGCUCAAAAUAAGACACCCAAGUGGCCAACAGGUACGUGAAAAGGUACUUAGCAUCAAUAAUCAUUAGGGAAAUGCAAAUUAAAAUCAUAAUGAGAUAUCACCUCACACCCAUUACAAUGGCUUUUUAUCAAAAAGAUGAAACAUUACAAGUGUUGGAGAGAUUGUGGAGAAAAGGCAACUCUCAUACACUGUAGUGGGAAUAUAAAUUUGUAUACAACCAUUAUAAAAAAUAGUAUGGACAUUCCUUGAAAAUUUGAAAAUAGGACCACCAUCUGAUCCAGCAAUCUCACUACUGGGUUUAUGCAUAAAGAAAUCAGCAUGUCAAAGAGCUAUCUGCCCUCUCAUUUUCAUUACAGUAUUUUUCAUAAUAGCCAAGACAAAGUAGUAAAUCAGCUGAGUGUCCAUCAACAAAUGAAUGGAAAAGAAAAUGUGUUUAUAUACACAAUGGAAGACCAUUGAGGCUUAAAAAGGAGGAGAUCCUGUUUAUUUGGGACAAUAUGGAUGAAUCUUCAGAGACAUUAUGCUAAGUGAAACACAGGCACUGAAAUGACGAAUACUGCAUGAUCUCACGAAUAUGUAGGAAUAAAAAAGAAGUUGAACUCACAGAAGUAGACAGUAUAAUGAUAGUUACCCAAGGCAGGGGGUGGAAGAGGUGGGGAAGGAAAGAAUGUAGAGUUGCUGAUCAAAGGAUAUAAAGUUUCAGAUAGACAGGAGGAAUAGGUUUUCAGGUCUAUAUAUAAUAAUGUACAUUUCAAAAUAAC
This is a long non-coding RNA of Macaca mulatta (Rhesus monkey), 1953 nucleotides long. NCBI's taxonomy places the organism in Eukaryota, Metazoa, Chordata, Mammalia, Primates, Cercopithecidae. The record is from Ensembl.